AAAAAACACACUAAAACUAAAAACAAAACACAAGCUCUCCUCUCUCAUUUCACUCAGUUCACCUUACCUCAAACCCAAACCCAGCUCCCUCACCUCACCUCUCGAACCUGCCUCAAACUCAAACUUAUUCAAACUCACCUCUUUCGUUUCACUCACCUCUCUCAUCUCACAACAAAAUCACCCACUCGCGCACUCAAGACUCACUCGCCAAUCGGAUGAGCAAAUUCGUGGGUUCUUCAAGAGUUUCUUCUGAUGGGUGAUUUAGGGUUUCAUGUUGCAACUUGGAUAUCAGACUUCAAUCGGGUGUUGGGGGUCAUCAUAUAUAACUCUGUUCCUACUUUCAAUUGGCGAUUUCAGCAACAGGAAAAUUCUGAGUUUAUUUAUAAGAACCAGAUCAAGAUGGCUACAUUUGCGGAUAUUGGAUUUGCCGCAGCUAUCAAUAUCAUCACUACAUUUACUUGUUUGGACUCGUCGUCUGAGUUCUUUAUCUGAUGAAGAUAACAACCCAUAAUCUUUGCUGGCAAUUAGAUUGAACAAAAAUGUACAUGGAUUAUAUGACAUUCUUCUCAAUUAUAGGUCAAUUUUGACCUCUAUGUGAAUGGUGUAAAUGUUCUGGUAGUGUAUGCGCCACUGCCUUUUGAAAAUGCAUCUAUUUCUACACCAGAGCGUGGACUGCUGUGUUCAACGGAAGUUUGCUGUCUCAAGGGCCUCUAGCAGUAACAAUACCAGGCACUGCAAAGUGCUGUGACCAGAAAGGACUCAGACUCAUCAAACAGUGACAAAAUUAUCUGGGUUUUUAUGGACAUGGGCCGAUCAAUAAGCAAAGAGGUGCAGCUUGUCUUCUGUCAUACCGUGUCCAAAGGCUAUUAGGGAGAAUGUGCCAAGCAGAUCUUGACAAAGAAGCAAGCCCGGAUUUUAAUUUCAAAUUUUAAUUGGAGUUUUAUAUUGUACCUAGCUAAUUUCAAUUUCAUGCACUAGUACUCAUGAUCUUGAUGUGGUUGAUAGGCUUGGACCAUUGUUUUGGUUCUUGGAUUGUGUUUGUUGUUGAAUGUUUGGUAAACUUUGAAAUGGGAAGUGCUAUUUUCAAAUGUUA
RNA transcript from Daucus carota subsp. sativus, 1093 nucleotides. RefSeq lists it as uncharacterized. Lineage: Eukaryota; Viridiplantae; Streptophyta; Magnoliopsida; Apiales; Apiaceae. The transcript is spliced from 7 exons. The record is from RefSeq and is a predicted model, not a curated record.